AGGGGGUGACGUUGUCGGCAUAUUGGGCGUAAGGGCUCGCAGGCGGUUUCUUAAGUCUGAUGUGAAAGCCCCCGGCUCAGCCGGGGAGGGUCAUUGGAAACUGGGGAACUUGAGUGCAGAAGAGGAGAGUGGAAUUCCACGUGUAGCGGUGAAAUGCGUAGAGAUGUGGAGGAACACCAGUGGCGAAGGCGACUCUCUGGUCUGUAACUGACGCUGAGGAGCGAAAGCGUGGGGAGCGAACAGGAUUAGAUACCCUGGUAGUCCACGCCGUAAACGAUGAGUGCUAAGUGUUAGGGGGUUUCCGCCCCUUAGUGCUGCAGCUAACGCAUUAAGCACUCCGCCUGGGGAGUACGGUCGCAAGACUGAAACUCAAAGGAAUUGACGGGGGCCCGCACAAGCGGUGGAGCAUGUGGUUUAAUUCGAAGCAACGCGAAGAACCUUACCAGGUCUUGACAUCCUCUGACAAUCCUAGAGAUAGGACGUCCCCUUCGGGGGCAGAGUGACAGGUGGUGCAUGGUUGUCGUCAGCUCGUGUCGUGAGAUGUUGGGUUAAGUCCCGCAACGAGCGCAACCCUUGAUCUUAGUUGCCAGCAUUCAGUUGGGCACUCUAAGGUGACUGCCGGUGACAAACCGGAGGAAGGUGGGGAUGACGUCAAAUCAUCAUGCCCCUUAUGACCUGGGCUACACACGUGCUACAAUGGACAGAACAAAGGGCAGCGAAACCGCGAGGUUAAGCCAAUCCCACAAAUCUGUUCUCAGUUCGGAUCGCAGUCUGCAACUCGACUGCGUGAAGCUGGAAUCGCUAGUAAUCGCGGAUCAGCAUGCCGCGGUUGAAUACGUUCCCGGGCCUUGUACACACCGCCCGUCACACCACGAGAGUUUGUAACACCCGAAGUCGGUGAGGUAACCUUUUAGGAGCCAGCCGCCGAAGGUGGGACAGAUGAUUGGGUGAUCUAUAGGAGGGAGAACGCAGAUAUAGAAGGGCCCUUUUUUCCCGCGCGGGUUU
This 1005-nucleotide ribosomal RNA is filed under the name Bacillus subtilis subsp. subtilis. RNAcentral's name for it is "bacterial SSU rRNA". It matches the Rfam family "Bacterial small subunit ribosomal RNA", at positions 530 to 1533 of the family's 1533-position model. The record is from RNAcentral. Lineage: Bacteria; Bacillati; Bacillota; Bacilli; Caryophanales; Bacillaceae.